Molecule: transfer RNA, 68 nt
Filed under: Metopograpsus quadridentatus
Lineage: Eukaryota; Metazoa; Arthropoda; Malacostraca; Decapoda; Grapsidae
Description: tRNA-Glu
Source: RNAcentral
GUUUUCAUAGUGUAAAUUUUAACAUAUUGCAUUUUCAUUGCUAAGCUGAAGGCCUUUUUCUGAAAACU